RNAcentral lists this ribosomal RNA (518 nucleotides) under uncultured bacterium. RNAcentral describes it as "partial 16S ribosomal RNA". The record is from RNAcentral.
ACUGACAGCCAUGGUUACCGCGGCUGCUGGCACGGAGUUAGCCGGUGCUUCUUCUGUGAGUGAUGUCCUUCCUGCCGGCUAUUAACCCGCAGGCCUUCUUCCUCACUGAAAGUGCUUUACAACCCGAAGGCCUUCUUCACACACGCGGCGAUGGCUGGAUCAGGGUUGCCCCAUUGUCCAAUAUUCCCCACUGCUGCCUCCCGUAGGAGUCUGGGCCGUGUCUCAGUCCCAGUGUGGCUGAUCAUCCUCUCAGACCAGCUACGGAUCGUCGCCUUGGUGAGCCGUUACCUCACCAACCAGCUAAUCCGACAUAGGCUCAUCCGAUAGCGCGAGGCCCGAAGGUCCCCCGCUUUCCCCCGGUAGGCGUAUGCGGUAUUAGCCUGGGUUUCCCCAGGUUAUCCCCCACUACCGGGCAGAUUCCUAUGCAUUACUCACCCGUCCGCCGCUCGCCACCAGGGAGCAAGCUCCCCGUGCUGCCGCUCGACUUGCAUGUGUUAGGCCUGCCGCCAGCGUUCAAU